RNAcentral lists this ribosomal RNA (256 nucleotides) under uncultured archaeon. Its description in RNAcentral is "partial 16S ribosomal RNA". It matches the Rfam family "Bacterial small subunit ribosomal RNA", at positions 521 to 776 of the family's 1533-position model. The record is from RNAcentral.
UAAUACGGAGGGUGCAAGCGUUAUCCGGAUUCACUGGGUUUAAAGGGUGCGUAGGCGGGCAGGUAAGUCAGUGGUGAAAUCCCCGAGCUUAACUCGGGAACUGCCGUUGAUACUAUCUGUCUUGAAUACCGUGGAGGUGAGCGGAAUAUGUCAUGUAGCGGUGAAAUGCUUAGAUAUGACAUAGAACACCAAUUGCGAAGGCAGCUCGCUACACGGUCAUUGACGCUGAGGCACGAAAGCGUGGGGAUCAAACAGG